RNAcentral lists this ribosomal RNA (497 nucleotides) under uncultured bacterium. Its description in RNAcentral is "partial 16S ribosomal RNA". It matches the Rfam family "Bacterial small subunit ribosomal RNA", at positions 28 to 507 of the family's 1533-position model. The record is from RNAcentral.
GAUGAACGCUGGCGGCGUGCCUAAUACAUGCAAGUCGAGCGAACAGACGCGGCGCUUGCUCCUCUGACGUUAGCCGCGCACGGGUGAGUCACACGUGUAUCCCCUCCCUAUCUGACUGGGAUCACUUCGGGACACCGGCGCUAAUCCCGUAUAAUAUAUUGCACCGCAUGGGUCGAUGGUGAAAGACGGUGUUGCUGUAACUUCUCGCUGCUUCCGAGCCGCUUUAGCUAGUUGGUAAGGUAAAGGCUUACCACGGCAACGAUGCGUAGCCGACCUGAGAGGGUGAUAGGCCACAUUGGAACGGAGACACGGUCCAGGCUCCUGCGGGAGGCAGCAGUAGGGAAUCGUCCGCAAUGGGCGAGAGCCUGACGGAGCAACGGCGCGUGAGUGAUGAAGGUCUUCGGAUCGUAAAACUCUGUUAUUAGUGAAGAACAAAUGUGUAAGUAACUAUGGACGUCUUGACGGUACCUAAUCAGAAAGCCACGGCUAACUACGUG